AUGAUCUCCAGUUGGUUUUUUUGCUUCUGGCUCUGUUUUCAUUCUGCUGCCAAACCCAUCACCCUAAAGGACGACGUUGAUCCUCUCAUGGCCUGCUCAGAAAUGUUCGCUGGGCCUCCCGUGUGGCCGGCACCCCUCGCUUUCCAGUUUUCCAUCCUCCUGCUUCCGGGGUCUCCGGGAUCGGCGGGCCCCUUUGCAUUGCAUUUAUGCUCCUCUCAUCCCCCCACUGCCACCCUGGGCUCUUCGUCGGAACCGUCCCCUCCGUGCCCUCGGCCAAGUGGGCCAGAAUUCCUGUGGCGAUGGCCUGGCUCGCGUCAUGGAUGCUCCAUUGCAGCGCCGAGUGCCCACCCUCUCCAAGGGGCCUUCUUAGUCCUCCCCCGACAUAAACACUGGGGGCUGGGGGGAGGCGCGGAAGUCAUUUCAGUGUGUGGUGGGCCCCCAGCGGGCACCUGGAGAGCACACGGACGGGGCUCCGUCUGUGAGGAAGGUCAGGCAAAGUGGAAAGAGACAGAACGUUCAGAGGAGGAUUGGAUCGUUCCAUUCAAUUUGACGUCUAUUAAGAGAGGACGGUGUCUGGAGAACAUGGUAGAAACCGAACAGUGGGUAAACCACUGCUCCUGCUCCAAGGACCUUGCAAUCUAUUGGGGUGGGGCGGUGUCGUUACACUCACACUCACACUCACACACACACACUCGCAUGUGCGUGCACCCUUACUCACACACACUCAUACACACACACACUCACACGUGUACGCACCCUUACUCACACUCAUAUACACACUCACACUCUCACACCACUUACUCACACACAUGCACACACACUCAUACAAACUCACACACACACACUCACACACUCGCAUGUGUGUGCACACUUACACACACUCAUACGUGUAUGCACCCUUACUCACACACACUCAUACACACUCACUCACACACACUUGCAUAUGCAUGCACACUUACACACACACUCAUACGUGUAUGCACCCUUACUCACACACACUCAUACACACACUCACACUCACACACUUACUCACACACAUGCACACACUCAUACAAACUCACACACACACACACUCACACACACACAGCCAUGAUUAAAAACCAGGUGGGAUUGCGUGUGAGAUAA
This 1125-nucleotide long non-coding RNA is filed under the name Monodelphis domestica (gray short-tailed opossum). Its description in RNAcentral is "lncRNA (ENSMODG00000050029.1)". The record is from RNAcentral. Lineage: Eukaryota; Metazoa; Chordata; Mammalia; Didelphimorphia; Didelphidae.